AUGUUGAAAAAAGAGGGGAAUGGGCUCAGCAGCCGGGAGACAGGAACCAGGUCAGUACAGGAGAUGGGAGGAGAGGAGGGGGGCGGCAGCCUCAGCGCUGAGUGCCAUCUCCUGCCAGGGGCUGCUCCUGCUGCUUUGACAGAGUCAGUCUCACAGCAGCCCUUCCAGGGAAGAAAGCAAGAUUUCUAUUUAAAAUCCAUUUCACAACGGAAACCCACUACCAGGGAAUCUCAGGAGGCUGCAGUCGCUCAGGAUGGGGUGAUAGAAAGCGGGGUUCAACCCGCGAAAGCGGGUGCCUUUCCCCCAGGCUUCAGCAUUUCAGAGAUCAAGAAUAAACAGCGGCGACAUUUAAUGUUCACGCGGUGGAAACAGCAGCAGCAGAAGGAAAAGUUGGCAGCUAAAAAAAGACUUAAAAAAGAGAGAAGGGCUCUUGGUGAUAAGGCUCCACCAAAAGCCUAUACCAAAGACCGUUGACAACCAGCGAGUGUAUGAUGAAACCACAGUAGACCCUAAGGAUGGAGAGGUUGCUUAUGAUGAAGCUACAGAUGAAUUUGCUUCUUACUUCAACAGACAGCCUUCUCCCAAGAUUCUGAUCACAACAUCAGAUAGGCCUCAUGGAGAACAGCACGACUCUGUGGACAGCUCUCCACAGUGAUACCAGACUCCCAUGUUUAUUACAGGGAAGAGGACUGGCCCUGAAAAAAAGUAUUCCACAGUGCAUCGCAAGCGAUUUCACAGAUCUGAUUGUUAUUAAUGACAAUCGUAAAACCCCGAAUGGACUUAUUUUGAGUUACUUGCCAAAUGGUCCAACUGCUCACUUAAAAAUGAGCAGUGUUCGUCUUCGUAAAGAAAUUAAGAGAAGAGGCAAGGACCCCACAGAACACAUACCUGAGAUAAUUCUGAAUAAUUUUACAACACGGUUGGGUCAUUCAGUUGGACGAAUGUUUGCAUCUCUCUUUCCUCAUGAUCCUCAAUUUAUGGGAAGGCAGGUUGCCACAUUCCAUAAUCAGCGAGAUUAUGUCUUCUUUAGAUUUCACAGGUACAUAUUCAAGAGUGAAAAGAAAGUAGGAAUUCAGGCACUUGGACCACGUUUUACCUUAAAAUUAAGAUCUCUUCAGAAAGGAACCUUUGAUUCUAAAUAUGGAGAGUAUGAAUGGGUCCAUAAGCCCCGAGAAAUGGAUACAAGUAGAAGAAAAUUCCAUUUAUAAAGUGCCGAAGGAACAGAAUUAGACUUUGCUGAAUAGAUCAAUUUUAAAGUUGGUAAAAUUAUUUGUGACAGAACACUCUUUUCAAAAUGGUAUUUACUGAUUUCAUAAAUCAUCUUUCGUGUCUGGACAAAUUG
Molecule: RNA transcript, 1342 nt
Organism: Nycticebus coucang (slow loris)
Lineage: Eukaryota; Metazoa; Chordata; Mammalia; Primates; Lorisidae
Gene name: ribosome production factor 1-like
Exons: 2
Source: RefSeq, a predicted model, not a curated record